UACGGAGGGUGCAAGCGUUAUCCGGAUUCACUGGGUUUAAAGGGUGCGCAGGCGGAUUGCCAAGUCCGUGGUGAAAUCUCUGAGCUUAACUCAGAAAUUGCCGUGGAUACUGGUAGUCUUGAAUGCUGUGGAGGUAAGCGGAAUAUGUCAUGUAGCGGUGAAAUGCUUAGAUAUGGAGGAACACCAGUGGCGAAGGCGACUUUCUGGUCUGUAACUGACACUGAGGCGCGAAAGCGUGGGGAGCAAACAGG
RNAcentral lists this ribosomal RNA (251 nucleotides) under uncultured bacterium. RNAcentral's name for it is "partial 16S ribosomal RNA". It matches the Rfam family "Bacterial small subunit ribosomal RNA", at positions 524 to 776 of the family's 1533-position model. The record is from RNAcentral.